AAAGGCGCUUUCGGGUGUCGCUGAUGGAUGGACCCGCGGUGCAUUAGCUAGUUGGUGAGGUAACGGCUCACCAAGGCCACGAUGCAUAGCCGACCUGAGAGGGUGAUCGGCCACAUUGGGACUGAGACACGGCCCAAACUCCUACGGGAGGCAGCAGUAGGGAAUCUUCGGCAAUGGACGAAAGUCUGACCGAGCAACGCCGCGUGAGUGAAGAAGGUUUUCGGAUCGUAAAACUCUGUUGUUAGAGAAGAACAAGGAUGAGAGUAACUGUUCAUCCCUUGACGGUAUCUAACCAGAAAGCCACGGCUAACUACGUGCCAGCAGCCGCGGUAAUACGUAGGUGGCAAGCGUUGUCCGGAUUUAUUGGGCGUAAAGCGAGCGCAGGCGGUUUCUUAAGUCUGAUGUGAAAGCCCCCGGCUCAACCGGGGAGGGUCAUUGGAAACUGGGAGACUUGAGUGCAGAAGAGGAGAGUGGAAUUCCAUGUGUAGCGGUGAAAUGCGUAGAUAUAUGGAGGAACACCAGUGGCGAAGGCGGCUCUCUGGUCUGUAACUGACGCUGAGGCUCGAAAGCGUGGGGAGCAAACAGGAUUAGAUACCCUGGUAGUCCACGCCGUAAACGAUGAGUGCUAAGUGUUGGAGGGUUUCCGCCCUUCAGUGCUGCAGCUAACGCAUUAAGCACUCCGCCUGGGGAGUACGACCGCAAGGUUGAAAC
RNAcentral lists this ribosomal RNA (711 nucleotides) under Enterococcus faecium. RNAcentral's name for it is "bacterial SSU rRNA". It matches the Rfam family "Bacterial small subunit ribosomal RNA", at positions 202 to 900 of the family's 1533-position model. The record is from RNAcentral. Lineage: Bacteria; Bacillati; Bacillota; Bacilli; Lactobacillales; Enterococcaceae.